AAAGAGUUUUGGCUGGACACCAUCCUCAGGCAAAGGAGCAGAGUCCCGGAAAUGCGGGUGAUCCCGUUGCCCUCGAUUGGUCUACUCGUGCAAGUCUUGGGCCUCAGUGGAUCUCCGGUGACGUUAACUUCUGAGACCAUCAAG
Molecule: long non-coding RNA, 144 nt
Organism: Athene cunicularia (burrowing owl)
Lineage: Eukaryota; Metazoa; Chordata; Aves; Strigiformes; Strigidae
Exons: 3
Source: RefSeq, a predicted model, not a curated record